This 41-nucleotide small RNA is filed under the name Arabidopsis thaliana (thale cress). Its description in RNAcentral is "ATSL215960". Lineage: Eukaryota; Viridiplantae; Streptophyta; Magnoliopsida; Brassicales; Brassicaceae. The record is from RNAcentral.
GCUACCAUCGAAUUCGAAAAAAAAAAAAAAACGAAAAAAAA